GCUAAGGGAGUGUGUAACAACUCACCUGCCGAAGCAACUAGCCCUGAAAAUGGAUGGCGCUCUAGCGUCGUGCUUAUACCGGGCCGUCAACGGCAAAGUGGACAGUUGUGGUCUUGUGCUGUAACUGUCGUUAAGUCUUGACGAGUAAGAGGGUCGCGACGGUGAGCGCAGAAGGGUCAGGGCGAGAGCCUGCCUGGAGCCGCCGUUGGUGCAGAUCUUGGUGGUAGUAGCAAAUACUCUAGCGAGGGCCUGGAGGACUGACGUGGAGAAGGGUUUCUUGUGAACAGCCGUUGCACAAGAGUCAGUCGACCCUGAGCCCUAGGAGAAAUCCGAUGACGAUGGGUGGCUUGACAAUAUACUACAUACAUUGUAUGUAUAGUGAAAACAGCUCCUAUCGGGCAAAAGGGAAUCCGGUUCCUAUUCCGGAACCCGGCUGCGUAACUGCAACUUUGCGGGCACUUGCUUGCGAGCGCUCGUCGGGGUAACCCAAACUGGCCUGGAGACGCCGGCGGGGGGUCUGGAAAGAGUUUUCUUUUCUUUAUAAGCGUUCGAGUACCCUGGAAUCCUAUAGCAGGGAGAUAGGGUUUGGAACGCGAAGAGCACCGCAGUUGCGGCGGUGUCCGGACCUUCCCCCCGGACCUUGAAAAUCCAGGUGAGGGCCACGCGGAAGUCGCGCCGGAUCGUACCCAUAUCCGCAGCAGGUCUCCAAGGUUAAGAGCCUCUAGUCGAUAGAAUAAUGUAGGUAAGGGAAGUCGGCAAACUAGAUC
Molecule: ribosomal RNA, 767 nt
Filed under: Delphax inermis
Lineage: Eukaryota; Metazoa; Arthropoda; Insecta; Hemiptera; Delphacidae
Description: eukaryotic LSU rRNA
Rfam family: Eukaryotic large subunit ribosomal RNA
Source: RNAcentral